This 77-nucleotide transfer RNA is filed under the name Bdellovibrionales bacterium. RNAcentral describes it as "tRNA-Arg". It matches the Rfam family "tRNA". From Rfam's summary of the family: Transfer RNA (tRNA) molecules are approximately 80 nucleotides in length. Their secondary structure includes four short double-helical elements and three loops (D, anti-codon, and T loops). Further hydrogen bonds mediate the characteristic L-shaped molecular structure. tRNAs have two regions of fundamental functional importance: the anti-codon, which is responsible for specific mRNA codon recognition, and the 3' end, to which the tRNAs corresponding amino acid is attached (by aminoacyl-tRNA synthetases). tRNAs cope with the degeneracy of the genetic code in two manners: having more than one tRNA (with a specific anti-codon) for a particular amino acid; and 'wobble' base-pairing, i.e. permitting non-standard base-pairing at the 3rd anti-codon position. The record is from RNAcentral. Lineage: Bacteria; Pseudomonadati; Bdellovibrionota; Bdellovibrionia; Bdellovibrionales. RNAcentral also lists the same sequence under 1 other name.
GCGUCUGUAGCUCAGCUGGAUAGAGCAAUAGCCUUCUAAGCUAUGGGUCGUAGGUUCGAAUCCUACCAGACGCGCCA